UACAUGUUAGAGAACGAUGUACUGGACAGACCCACCAUGAGAAUUCUAUAUGGAGCUUUAUGCGAAGUGUCGUUAGCAAUUCUCAUAGUGACAAUGAUGUAAUGGUCCUCCGACCUGAAAUCGCUAUAUUACUACACGAGAAUUUAUGUACUUUGAUAUCAUCAAAUGUCACCUUUAAUAGGGUGGACUAUAAAGGUGAUUAUUGGGUUCAUCAUUAAUCGUGUGAGAAAUAUGAGUGAUCUAGAUGGAAUUUAACCAUCCUAUAUAUUAUGGGUGAUAUCCAUAGGCCUCUUGAUUGAG
Molecule: long non-coding RNA, 300 nt
Filed under: Panax ginseng (ginseng)
Lineage: Eukaryota; Viridiplantae; Streptophyta; Magnoliopsida; Apiales; Araliaceae
Description: long non-coding RNA (PGIN_LNC003250)
Source: RNAcentral